CUGUUCGCCUAUUAAAGCGGUACGUGAGCUGGGUUCAGAACGUCGCGAGACAGUUCGGUCCCUAUCUGUUGUGGGCGCAGGAGAUUUGAGAGGACCUGUCCUUAGUACGAGAGGACCGGGAUGGACGAACCUCUUGUGUUCCAGCUGUCAUGCCAAUGGCAUAGCUGGGUAGCGAAGUUCGGUUGUGAUAACCGCUGAAUGCAUAUAAGCGGGAAGCACUCCUCAAGAUGAGAUCUCCCAACCCGUAAGGGAUAAGAAGGGCCCAGGAAGACUACCUGGUUGAUAGACGGGAAGUGAAAGCGCAGUAAUGUGUGAAGCUUACCCGCACUAAUCGCCCGUUCGGCUUGACCAUAAAA
Molecule: ribosomal RNA, 356 nt
Filed under: Acidobacteriota bacterium
Lineage: Bacteria; Pseudomonadati; Acidobacteriota
Description: bacterial LSU rRNA
Rfam family: Bacterial large subunit ribosomal RNA
Source: RNAcentral